This 432-nucleotide unclassified non-coding RNA is filed under the name Hevea brasiliensis (rubber tree). Lineage: Eukaryota; Viridiplantae; Streptophyta; Magnoliopsida; Malpighiales; Euphorbiaceae. The record is from RNAcentral.
UAAUACACCUUCUAGGGUUUUCAGGAGAAAAUAGAGAAAUUUAAAAAGCUAUAUGUGAGAGGAACAAGGGUUUUAUUUCUGAAGGCAAGCUUAGGCAAAACUUGAAUUACAUCAAACUGAGACUCUCAUUAUAUAGAGGGAAGAGCUCUAACUUUUACAAGCUACCGGUUAGUGACCGGUUUCACGAGCACACAGAAUAUACUUUAAAUAAAGUAAAAGUAAAAGUACAUCAUUAUUUUAUUGGUGGUCGACACUCCCGCUAAUCAUGGAGAAGUGGAUAGGUUGCAAUUCCUAUAAUCAAAAUCAUCCGAGUCAAUAUCUUCGAAAAAUGGUUCAUACCAGGGUCCACGCUCUUCAAGAGAUGGUGAGACAGCACUUUCAAUGGCUUCACGUGCUUCAACAUCCAUGGGGUCUUGAGAAUCUUGCCAAAGA